GACGUAGGGCGCGAGCGUUGUCCGGAUUUAUUGGGCGUAAAAGGAGCUCGUAGGCGGGCUUGUUGCGUCAGCUGUGAAAACCCGCAGCUCAACUGUGGGCUUGCAGCUGAUACGGGCAGGGCUUGAGUUGGUAGGGGAGACUGGAAUUCCUGGUGUAGCGGUGAAAUGACGCAGAUAUCAGGAGGAACACCAGCGGCGGAAGGCGGCGCUCGUGGGCCGGAACUGACGCUGAGGAGCGAAAGCGUGGGUAGCAAACAGG
This 259-nucleotide ribosomal RNA is filed under the name uncultured bacterium. Its description in RNAcentral is "partial 16S ribosomal RNA". It matches the Rfam family "Bacterial small subunit ribosomal RNA", at positions 524 to 776 of the family's 1533-position model. The record is from RNAcentral.